ACUUUCCUGGUUGGGCUGGCUUCAAACCACGAUCCUCAGAACUCAGCCUCCUGAGUAGCUAGGAUUACAUGAGCCACCAGCACUCUAUUUGGAAAGCAGCUUUCAUUUCAUGAGAGUAGGAGGAGUACUGACCGACCUCCAUCUCCCUCCAAUUCAACUUCUAGAAUGCUAAAGACCUAAGAGGGGAAAGAAUCUGAGAUUCUAGUAUUCUAUGUAAACAUAAGCUGGUUCCGUUACCCCCACUACCCCACCACUAUUUCCUAGGAAACAAAAAAUAUCAAAUUAAGAGAUCACACAGCUCCUCCUCACUCAUGACUUGCUCAAGGUACUGUCAAGUAAGACUGAAAGAUCAGUGAGCACUCACUGUGCUUCUCAUUCAUUCUUUCUGCAAAAGUAAAAAUCAUCUAAAAACAGGCUUCAAUCUAUUAGUU
Molecule: long non-coding RNA, 431 nt
Organism: Perognathus longimembris pacificus (Pacific pocket mouse)
Lineage: Eukaryota; Metazoa; Chordata; Mammalia; Rodentia; Heteromyidae
Exons: 3
Source: RefSeq, a predicted model, not a curated record